GACGUAGGGUGCGAGCGUUGUCCGGAUUUAUUGGGCGUAAAGCGCUCGUAGGCGGCUCGUCGCGUCGACCGUGAAAACCCACAGCUUAACUGUGGGCUUGCGGUUGAUACGGGCGGGCUAGAGUUCGGUAGGGGAGACUGGAAUUCCUGGUGUAGCGGUGAAAUGCGUAGAUAUCCGGAGGAACACCAGUGGCGAAAGCGGCCACCUGGACUGCACCUGACGCUGACACGCGAAAGCUAGGGGAGCGAACGGG
This 253-nucleotide ribosomal RNA is filed under the name uncultured bacterium. Its description in RNAcentral is "partial 16S ribosomal RNA". It matches the Rfam family "Bacterial small subunit ribosomal RNA", at positions 524 to 776 of the family's 1533-position model. The record is from RNAcentral.